This 440-nucleotide ribosomal RNA is filed under the name uncultured bacterium. Its description in RNAcentral is "partial 16S ribosomal RNA". It matches the Rfam family "Bacterial small subunit ribosomal RNA", at positions 338 to 795 of the family's 1533-position model. The record is from RNAcentral.
CCUACGGGUGGCAGCAGUGGGGGAUAUUGCACAAUGGGGGGAACCCUGAUGCAGCGACGCCGCGUGGGUGAAGAAGCGCCUCGGCGCGUACAGCCCUGUCAGCAGGGAAGAAACUGACGGUACCUGAAGAAGAAGCCCCGUCUAACUACGGGCCAGCAGCCGGGGUUAUACGGAGGGGGCAAGCGUUAUCCGGAUUUACUGGGUGUAAAGGGGGUGCAGUCGGGGAAGGAAGCCCGGAGUGAAAGCCCGGGGUCCAACCCCGGGACUGCUGUUGGAACUGCGUGGCUGGAGUGCAGGAUGGGUAGGCGGAAUGCGUGGUGUAGCGGUGAAAUGCGUAGAUAUCAGGAGGAACACCGGUGGCGAAGGCGGCCUGCUGGACUGCAACUGACGUUGAGGCCCGAAAGCGUGGGGAGCAAACAGGAUUAGAUACCCCGGUAGUC